Molecule: ribosomal RNA, 269 nt
Filed under: uncultured prokaryote
Description: partial 16S ribosomal RNA
Rfam family: Bacterial small subunit ribosomal RNA
Source: RNAcentral
UACGUAGGUGGCAAGCGUUGUCCGGAAUCAUUGGGCGUAAAGCGCGCGCAGGCGGUCCCUUAAGUCUGAUGUGAAAGCCCACGGCUCAACCGUGGAGGGUCAUUGGAAACUGGGGGACUUGAGUGCAGAAGAGGAAAGCGGAAUUCCAAGUGUAGCGGUGAAAUGCGUAGAGAUUUGGAGGAACACCAGUGGCGAAGGCGGCUUUCUGGUCUGUAACUGACGCUGAGGCGCGAAAGCGUGGGGAGCAAACAGGAUUAGAUAUCCCUGUA